CCUACGGGUGGCAGCAGUAGGGAAUAUUGCUCAAUGGGGGAAACCCUGAAGCAGCAACGCCGCGUGGAGGAUGAAGGUUUUCGGAUUGUAAACUCCUUUUGUUAGAGAAGAUAAUGACGGUAUCUAACGAAUAAGCACCGGCUAACUCCGUGCCAGCAGCCGCGGUAAUACGGAGGGUGCAAGCGUUACUCGGAUUCACUGGGUGUAAAGAGCGCGUAGGCGGGAUAGCAAGUCAGAUGUGAAAUCCUGUGGCUUAACCAUCGAACUGCAUUUGAAACUGUUAUUCUAGAGUAUAGGAGAGGUAGGUGGAAUUCUUGGUGUAGGGGUAAAAUCCGUAGAUAUCAAGAGGAAUACUCAUUGCGAAGGCGACCUGCUAGAACAUAACUGACGUUGAUGCGCGAAAGCGUGGGGAGCAAACAGGAUUAGAUACCCGGGUAGUC
Molecule: ribosomal RNA, 440 nt
Filed under: uncultured bacterium
Lineage: Bacteria
Description: partial 16S ribosomal RNA
Rfam family: Bacterial small subunit ribosomal RNA
Source: RNAcentral